Molecule: long non-coding RNA, 628 nt
Filed under: Equus caballus (horse)
Lineage: Eukaryota; Metazoa; Chordata; Mammalia; Perissodactyla; Equidae
Description: lncRNA (ENSECAG00000059113.1)
Source: RNAcentral
CUAGCCAAUAGAAUUCCAAACCACAGACUCCAAGUCAGUUAUGCUCUUUUCUCAUUCUUGUUGUUGUUUUCACAAAGACACAAAGAAAAGAACGAAAGAUGGUGAUUGAGCAGAAUAGUUACGAAAUUAAAGAUGCAAGCGACAUUCCAGAAGCAGAAUUAAUUUCUCUUGGUGUCAAGUUGAACAUGGAAGGAGAAGAGAAUGAUAAGAAACCUUCCGUCCAAACUGGAUGAACAGCUAUUUCAGCAGCUCCCUAUGGCUUCGUCUCUUCAUUCACGGCAUGCCACGUGGCAGGAACCUGGAGACGCUGAGCAUCAGCCAUGGAUCACGAUGCUCUCUGAACGGGAAGGUGGCCGAGGGGCUCCAACAGCUCCUCACCAUGAGCCAUUCCAUUAUAGGCACUGUGUUGAAGCCCCAGCCACCGAGACCUGAGAGGUCCUAUUUUACUCUGGGUCAUGGGCAGAGAGGAGAAACAGCUGGAAAGAUAAAGCCAGAACUAGGAAAAUGGCCAUAGAAGACCACGGUGAAACUCAUCAAAUAGAACACUUAAAAUAUGUGUAUUUCAUGUUAUGCUAAUUAUUCUGGAUUAACCUGAAUUUUAAAAAUUAAAUUUGAAAAAGGAAACAAA